GUCCUAGCCCUAAACGAUGCUCAUUAGGUGUGGGAGGUAUCGACCCCUUCCGCGCCGUAGCUAACGCAUUAAAUGAGCCGCCUGGGGAGUACGGCCGCAAGGUUGAAACUCAAAGGAAUUGACGGGGGCCCCGCACAAGCGGUGGAGCAUGUGGUUUAAUUCGACGCAACGCGAAGAACCUUACCUGGGCUUGAACUACUGGUAGUAAGCUUUUGGAAACAUUAGCUGAUCCGCAAGGAAGCCAGCAGAGGUGCUGCAUGGUUGUCGU
This 268-nucleotide ribosomal RNA is filed under the name uncultured bacterium. RNAcentral's name for it is "partial 16S ribosomal RNA". It matches the Rfam family "Bacterial small subunit ribosomal RNA", at positions 793 to 1055 of the family's 1533-position model. The record is from RNAcentral.